GCAACUCGCCUACACGAAGCUGGAAUCGCUAGUAAUCGCGGAUCAGCACGCCGCGGUGAAUACGUUCCCGGGCCUUGUACACACCGCCCGUCACACCAUGAGAGUCUGUAACACCCAAAGCCGGUGGGAUAACCUUUAUAGGAGUCAGCCGUCUAAGGUAGGACAGAUGAUUAGGGUGAAGUCGUAACAAGGUAUC
Molecule: ribosomal RNA, 196 nt
Filed under: uncultured bacterium
Lineage: Bacteria
Description: partial 16S ribosomal RNA
Rfam family: Bacterial small subunit ribosomal RNA
Source: RNAcentral